CAAGUCGAACGAAUCCCUGGGGGCUUGCUCCCAGGGGAAAGUGGCGAAAGGGGCAGUAAUGCGUGGGUAACCUACCCCGGGGACCGGGAUAGCCACCCUAACGGGUGGGUAAUACCGGGCGAUGUAGCGAGAUGGCAUCACCUUGCUACGAAAUGAAUUUCGCCUCGGGAGGGGCUCACGUGGUAUUAGCUUGUUGGUGGGGUAACGGCCCACCAAGGCCAAGAUGCCUAGCAGGUGUGAGAGCACGACCUGCGCCACUGGCACUGAGACACUGGCCAGACUCCUACGGGAGGCUGCAGUCGAGGAUCUUCGGCAAUGGGCGCAAGCCUGACCGAGCGACGCCGCGUGCGCGAUGAAGGCCUUCGGGUUGUAAAGCGCUGUCGAGGGGGAGGAAAGCCCGAAAGGGUCUGACCUAUCCCUGGAGGAAGCACGGGCUAAGUUUGUGCCAGCAGCCGCGGUAAGACAAACCGUGCAAACGUUGUUCGGAAUCACUGGGCUUAAAGGGCGCGUAGGCGGCCUACCAAGUCGGGGGUGAAAUCUUUCGGCUUAACCGGAAAAGUGCUUUCGAUACUGGUAGGCUCGAGUGAGGUAGGGGCAUGCGGAACUUCCGGUGGAGCGGUGAAAUGCGUUGAUAUCGGAAGGAACGCCGGUGGCGAAAGCGGCGUGCUGGACCUCUUCUGACGCUGAGGCGCGAAAGCUAGGGGAGCGAACGGGAUUAGAUACCCCGGUAGUCCUAGCCCUAAACGAUGGGUACUAGGUAGUGGGCUUGACAUGGGUUCACUGCCGAAGCAAAAGUGAUAAGUACCCCGCCUGGGGAGUAUGGUCGCAAGGCUGAAACUCAAAGGAAUUGACGGGGCUCA
RNAcentral lists this ribosomal RNA (860 nucleotides) under uncultured Planctomycetota bacterium. Its description in RNAcentral is "bacterial SSU rRNA". It matches the Rfam family "Bacterial small subunit ribosomal RNA", at positions 58 to 922 of the family's 1533-position model. Lineage: Bacteria; Pseudomonadati; Planctomycetota. The record is from RNAcentral.